Molecule: small nuclear RNA, 23 nt
Filed under: Arabidopsis thaliana (thale cress)
Lineage: Eukaryota; Viridiplantae; Streptophyta; Magnoliopsida; Brassicales; Brassicaceae
Description: snRNA_05329
Source: RNAcentral
AUUCUUCUCUCGUAAAGUACUUG